This is a long non-coding RNA of Orbicella faveolata, 1174 nucleotides long. The record is from RefSeq and is a predicted model, not a curated record. Lineage: Eukaryota; Metazoa; Cnidaria; Anthozoa; Scleractinia; Merulinidae.
UGGGGAUUAUCUAAGCUUACUGUACCAGGAAGAAUGUUCGAUAACUUUAGAGAUCGUUUGCAGACGGUACAGCAUGAUCUGAGCCAAGGCUGGAAAUCGAUCGCAGAUAAGGCCAAGGCCGUUAACAAGAAAAUAGUUCGAAAGACGACUUUUAUAACGGAUGAAAUCAUCGAAAGUGGUGACCAGUGUUUCAGUUGUGAUCUUGAGGCAGGCUCUGAAAUCCUAAACAAGUAAGUACUCAAGUACUUGUCCAGCCAUUUGAUGCUAUCAAUCAAAAUGAAUUGUAAAUACAGUCUAGCACAGUUAACCAUUAAAAAUACAGUCAGGUAGUCAGACUGUGAAGAAAAAUGCAUAUUAAAUAGUUGCAUAUGCAGAAGACUAGAUGGCAAGUCUGCACACGAGCCAAGUGACCCAUCAGGUCAGAGCUUAUACCAGUUUCUGUUGCAUGAAGUGACUAAGAGUACUUCUACUCCCUCCUGGAUGGGAUGUUAGUACAUGGCAGGGUUACACCCAGCAUUACACUGUAUGUUUGCUGGUACCCAUAUAUACACUGGGGUGGAGAGAGGCACUGUGAGAAUAAGUGUCUCACACAAUGAAUGCAACGCAAUGUCCCUGGCCAGGACUGCACAAUCCAGAGACGAGUGCACCAAUCAUGAGGCCACCGCACUUCCCCUUAAGUUUAUUAAGUUGCCAUGCAAGUUAAUUGCUUAUACCCAAGACAAGAGUGGUUGAAAUGAUCUGGUCCUGGACAUGUCACCAAUUCAUAUAUCUAGAGUACAACUGUAAGGGCCUGUUCACAUGGAGGUAGGGGACCCUGGGAAGGUGAGGUACCCUGCCUACAUGUUGUAUCCAUAGUCAAAAAAGCUACAGUGCAGCCUUCACCUGCAAUCCCAGGGUCCUGGGAUGAGGUGUAAAAUGCUAUUGUGUGGCACUAAGCAGUAUACAAACAAAGAUGGUGGAUGGAGGACACUUUGUGGCAGUGAAUUCAGUAAAUGCAAUUUUCCUUUCAUUGGCAUGUUGAGCUUAUCAAAUUCUGCCAUAAUUUUGUACAAAUGGCUUGCUUUGAUUAUCAUAAAAUAUUUUAUGUUUAGUUUUACUGAUCAUUAGUGAUGAAGUUCCCUUGUACAAUGGUUGCAAUACAUGUACAUUUUAUUAUCAAUUCCAUCAAUUUUCU